Molecule: ribosomal RNA, 669 nt
Filed under: Erwinia sp. EECC-408
Lineage: Bacteria; Pseudomonadati; Pseudomonadota; Gammaproteobacteria; Enterobacterales; Erwiniaceae
Description: bacterial SSU rRNA
Rfam family: Bacterial small subunit ribosomal RNA
Source: RNAcentral
CUCUUGGGUGACGAGUGGCGGACGGGUGAGUAAUGCCUGGGAAACUGCCCGAUGGAGGGGGAUAACUACUGGAAACGGUAGCUAAUACCGCAUAACGUCUUCGGACCAAAGUGGGGGACCUUCGGGCCUCACACCAUCGGAUGUGCCCAGGUGGGAUUAGCUAGUAGGUGGGGUAAUGGCUCACCUAGGCGACGAUCCCUAGCUGGUCUGAGAGGAUGACCAGCCACACUGGAACUGAGACACGGUCCAGACUCCUACGGGAGGCAGCAGUGGGGAAUAUUGCACAAUGGGCGCAAGCCUGAUGCAGCCAUGCCGCGUGUAUGAAGAAGGCCUUCGGGUUGUAAAGUACUUUCAGUGGGGAGGAAGGCAGUGAGGUUAAUAGCUUCGCUGAUUGACGUUACCCGCAGAAGAAGCACCGGCUAACUCCGUGCCAGCAGCCGCGGUAAUACGGAGGGUGCAAGCGUUAAUCGGAAUUACUGGGCGUAAAGCGCACGCAGGCGGUCUGUCAAGUCGGAUGUGAAAUCCCCGGGCUCAACCUGGGAACUGCAUUCGAAACUGGCAGACUAGAGUCUUGUAGAGGGGGGUAGAAUUCCAGGUGUAGCGGUGAAAUGCGUAGAGAUCUGGAGGAAUACCGGUGGCGAAGGCGGCCCCCUGGACAAAGACUGACGC